Molecule: non-coding RNA, 61 nt
Organism: Pristionchus pacificus
Lineage: Eukaryota; Metazoa; Nematoda; Chromadorea; Rhabditida; Neodiplogasteridae
Source: Rfam
UCUUCAUUUCACACACUCUCUCGGCGAUCGAGCAGGCGAGAGAGUGUGCAAAAUGAAGAGA